This 4625-nucleotide long non-coding RNA is filed under the name Sorghum bicolor (sorghum). RNAcentral's name for it is "long non-coding RNA (SBIC_LNC013942)". The record is from RNAcentral. Lineage: Eukaryota; Viridiplantae; Streptophyta; Magnoliopsida; Poales; Poaceae.
CACUAGAUAUCUAUUUGAGCAGUCGCUGCAUCUUACCAUCCUGCAAUCCAAAGCCAAACCAGUGGAAGGACUCAAGCCAGCUUGCUCCGUUGCAUGCCGCAAGUGACAUAAUGAUUAAUGGUCAGCCCAACCUCCUUUCCAAUUCAGUGAUAAUCACGUCACAUGUUUCUGAGUUAAAUAAAUUAGCUACUAAUUUGAUUAGUGUGCAUGCUACCACUUUUCUAAAUUAAAAGCAAACAUAGGUUCUGCGCCAUGAUAUUUUAUAAGCAAACAUUAAUAUGAUCUCCCUGGAUCAAAAUAAAUUAAGCUUGUGACUAUUUCUUUUGUAAUAUAAAACUCUCGACGGUAAUAUUAUUUAGUGUGUAUUAAUUUACAUUUUCAAAAAAAAAUAAAAUUAGUUUUAUCUCGAUUUUGUAACUCAAAUAUAAUUUAACUUAAUCUAGGUAUUUCUAUGAAGUAUUUCCAAAUGAACCCGCUCCAAAGCGUCUAUCUGGUUUACGCUAUUUGUUUCCGAACCGGCCCAGCACUAAUCGCUCAGGAAAUUACAAGUUUGCCACUGAUUUUCUUUUGGUCAUAAAAUAUUCAUUUUAAUUCCGUUUUGACCCAUUCAAAUUGCGUUAGACUCGUCUUUGAAAUAUCUACAUGUUAGUAACACUGUUUUCUCAGUUUGAAACUUUAUAAUUUCGUGACUUUAAUUAAUUAUUUUUCUAUAUAAAAUCUUAGAAAAUUCAUAAAUUUUCCGUUUUAGCUUCGAUUUUCGUGAUAUUUACGUUCGUGUGAUCGUAGUGAUGUGUAGAAUCUUUUUAUAAACUUUUCAUACUAUUUUUAUAUGAUUGGUGUACUGUUCUAAUUGUAGCCUUGUUUGCUUCGUGUAUGUUUGUUGCCGUAUGUUUGUGAUCAACCAGUCAGUUGGAUCCUGUGAAGUGAAGUUAAUACCCGAAGUUUGGAGUUGUCUGUCCGCUGUUUGAUAUCAAAGGUUAUACCUUUUAUACUAAGUACGUUAUAUAUUUAUGUAUUGUCUUUUGAUAUUACCCCUUAUUUGUAGCUAUAUGUGAGAUUUGACUUCUAAGACUCACAUAUGGUGUAUAUCUGGUUUUAUCCUUAAAAUCGGGUAUUACAAAGUGGUAUCAAAGCAAUGCUGACUGUAGGACGCAAGCCUAGUUAGAAAUUUGUCGUCUUAAGGUUUUGGAAUUGUCAUAAAAUCCUUGCUCUAUAAACCUUGGUAUUUUCAUCCAUAUUAUAUCCCUAUCCUUGCUAUUUGUCUCCACCUUGUUGCUUAUUUUAAAGACUUGUUCUCAUCCCCACUCCUUGCUUGAUAUGCUUUUAGAACUUUUUCUUACCACCUUCUGGCAUCGUUGGAAUAGGUGUUUUAAGAUAUCUACCCUUACUAUGAAGAGAACGAUAGUAUCGCAAAUUGAGUGAAGUGUGCUUAGUUGGUUUGUUAUUAUGCUUAUGCUUGAUUUGGAUCUUUGUAAUGAUUGCAAUGAUCUUGUGGGAUUUCUCCACAAUUUCAUUAGUUUAUAGACCUAAGGCAUAAGGAUUAAUGAAAUAAGUAGUUGGGUUUGGCUAUCUCUUGUUCCUAUCCCUUGCUGAUUUCUGGAGCAGUCUGCGAUGAUUCUGGUGUACCUCAAGUUUUGAUCGUGCAAAGUAUAUCAACUUUUUCUGGGAACAACUAAACUUCAAGAUCUUUCUCUGACCGCAAGAAUCACCCCCAUAUCUAUUUUGGAAUUGGAGUUAUGAAAAUCACAAGUUGAUGCAGCUGCGCUGUCAAGAAUCUGUACCAGUUUCGGUUGCUUACUGUUUUAGACAUAUAUAACUAUAGAAUUUGGAAAAGUAUUCUAUAGAAAAUUUGUAGACAAUUUUCUAUUCUUUCCAACGGUAUAAGCUGGAACUUAUUUGGAUAAGUAGAACUUGAGAUUAUGAUAUUUAUACUCGGAUGUUUCUGUUCUGCUUCAAAAUCUGGACAGAUCUGGUAUUUCUAAUUUUUCAGCCAAGUUAAAGACAGAAUCUGGGAAAACGUGGUAUACGAAACUUGUAGAGAAUUUCCCAACAUUUUCAAAAAUGUAAGGAUCAUCUCCAGAUGAGUUAAGGAGCUCUAGAUAUAACUUCUGGAAGUUACUGCACCUUUGCUGAGACAUUAUCAGGAAGGAGAUUAUGUUUGGUUGUUUUACCUAAGCUUAAAGACAGAACCUAAGGAGGUCUUCUACAUGAAAGUGGUAGAGAAUUUCAUAAGUUUUCUAACGGUAUAAGCUACAACUCUAUUGGAUUAACAUAAUAAGAGUUAUACUUGUUUUACUACGCUGGUGUUUUCAUAUCACGAGAAGAUUUCAGGAUACCUGUUUGUUCUCUUGCACCUAAGUUCUUUGGGAUGUCAGGAGUUCUCAAUCUUAGUUAACUUGUCUGAAAAACAUGCAAGCUACCUUUCUUGUGCCCUAGUUGACUUUUCAUAAGGGGGGUAGCCUAGUUAAAGAAGUUACAAGGAGAAUGAUUGGUUAAUGUUGGAUCAUAUGUUAGGAUCACAAAUGUUUGGUGAAUUUGGUUUUGUUCCAAGGUAUCAACCCACUUGGAGAAUAUAAUUGGAGGUUUAUGUCAUUACUGAUACUCACAGACUAAGAGUUGCGUAUGAAGAUCAGAUGAUACCAAAUUCUACAAAGCUUUAUGUACAAAGUGAGAGUGAAGCAACUUAACUGUGAUAAACUGUGAUAAAGGUACUAACAAUUGGAACUUAGUCAUGAAGCCAACCUUGGAUCAAGAGACUCGGUACAACAAAUUUUAAAGACUAUAUGAUGUGUAGCAUUUAAAAAGGUUAUGAGGACUAGUCCCUAAUGUCUCCCCAAUCAAUCUCAUCUUAAGGGGGUAGCCUAGAUAAGAAGGUUGCUAAAUGAAGGUUCCAUGCGUUCUAGUGCCUUAGUUGGAAGUAUCUUUUAUGCCUCUGGAUGAGAAGUCAAUAUCAUGUGUAGGUAUUACCCUUGUUUGAGCUAUGAGUAAAAAAAAAAACCUUAUCUAUACAAUGUGCACUACUGAACUCUUGGAAACAAUUGAGGGAGAUGUUCGGAGUGACGAAAGCAAUGGAAUGGCUACUAAGGAGCUACUCGAGGAAGUGAAUAAGGUUCAAAAGUGGAGUGUCCAUGUUUCUUUGAUCACCAUCUUUCGAAUCUCGAGGACGAGAUUCAUCUUAAGGGGGGUAGAAUUGUAACACCCUAAAAUUUGCUCCUUUCAAAAUAGAUGAAAAUCGAUUUAGUUUUGUAUUUUUUUUGUGCUCAUGAAAAUAUGGGAAAAAAAUAAUAUUUUUCAUUAGAUUAAAGUUUAUCAUAAGGCUUAGCAACAUGGUUGUGUAUACAUGCUGAUGCAUAUGAUUUUGGGUGAUGUCUGCUUAUUGCUCCUUUGUGGGUUGAUAGUAAGAAAAAUAUUUAAAAUACAUUUAGUAGAUCGAUCUUCCUUAUUCGACACGUAUUUAUCUUUUUCUACAAUCAAAUUCCUUGUCUCUUAGCUCAAGAUUUCGGUCAGGGUCUCUCAGAAUCUUUUCUUUCAAACCUAAGUCACUCGUUUGAGUUUCUCGUCCAUUAAGCAAUAUCUACAAACUUCUCGGGUAUUUUUCUAGCCUUUUCUAUGAGCAUAAAUCUAAUUUUAGAUGCCCCAAAUUAUCUCAUCAUAAGUUCCAAAUACUUUAUUUGGAUUCCUCAUGUUCUAUAAUAUCUCUGAGAAUUUUUCCCAAAUUUUCGAAGCUUUCGGAGUAUUUUUCGUGGCUUAACUACUAAUUAUGAACUUUUCUAGAAUUAUUUUAUCCAUGAAAAUAAUUAAUUUCGAAAAUAAUAAUUUCUUCAUUUUACUCAAAUCCAACGUCAUCAUGAUUCAAAGACCAAAUGUUUUAUUUACUAAUGGGCUUUAAUAAUUAAUUAGGCCUAUUAGUAAAGAUGGAGAUUUCAACAUCAAUUAGUACCAUAUUGCUAAUUGAUGUGGAUGUGACGAGUUUUUCUCCCUAUAUAUGUACCAACUUUUUGGGUUAAGCACACACCAAAACUACCAUGAGGGAAGCCCCAGGUUUAGGAAUCCCUAGGUAGUAAAUCAAUUUUUUUUCCCCUCUUUAUCAUCCCAGCAUUGCUGAUCCAUCUACUAUCGCUAUUCUUAUCACGGAGGUGGAGAAUCGUUUGAGCAGCAGGUCUGGUCAUCAACGCCUGCUGUCUUCUUUGGUGCUUCUGUGUUGUUGGUAAGGAACCGUGCAUAACCUUGCUUUUAGUUCACGUAUCUAUCCUAAUUCAAGCAUAAUCCUCAUCAGCUGACUACACUAGAUAUCUAUUUGAGCAGUCGCUGCAUCUUACCAUCCUGCAAUCCAAAGCCAAACCAGUGGAAGGACUCAAGCCAGCUUGCUCCGUUGCAUGCCGCAAGUGACAUAAUGAUUAAUGGUCAGCCCAACCUCCUUUCCAAUUCAGUGAUAAUCACGUCACAUGUUUCUGAGUUAAAUAAAUUAGCUACUAAUUUGAUUAGUGUGCAUGCUACCACUUUUCUAAAUUAAAAGCAAACAUAGGUUCUGCGCCAUGAUAUUUUAUAAGCAAACAUUAAUAUGAUCUCCCUGGAUUAAAAUAAAUUAAGCUUGUGACUAUUUCUUUUGUAAUAUAAAACUCUCG